RNAcentral lists this RNase P RNA (317 nucleotides) under human gut metagenome. RNAcentral describes it as "Bacterial RNase P class A". It matches the Rfam family "Bacterial RNase P class A". Rfam says of the family: Ribonuclease P (RNase P) is a ubiquitous endoribonuclease, found in archaea, bacteria and eukarya as well as chloroplasts and mitochondria. Its best characterised activity is the generation of mature 5'-ends of tRNAs by cleaving the 5'-leader elements of precursor-tRNAs. Cellular RNase Ps are ribonucleoproteins. The record is from RNAcentral.
UUGGCGCUGGUUCUCCAGCGCCCGAGAGGAAAGUCCGAGCUCCAUAGGACAUGACGCCGGGUAACGCCCGGGAGCCGUAAGGCUACAGACAGUGCAACAGAAAGCAAACCGCCUGCUUUGCAGGUAAGGGUGAAAUGGUGGGGUAAGAGCCCACCGGGAGCGCAGCGAUGCGCUUCGCAUGGUAAACCUCGUCAGGAGCAAGGCCAAGAAGCGUGUGGGUUGUCCGUCCAAUACACGCGGGUAGGCUGCUAGAUGCUGCCGGCAACGGCAGUGCCAGAUAGAUGAUUGCAUAAACAGAACUCGGCUUAUGAAGGGCC